UCCCAACCCUGGAAUAAGAAGGGAAGUUCUUACUGGAGAUCACGUUACCACAAAAAAGCCACUGUCAUCAGACCCAAGGCAAGUGGAAGCACCACAGCACCAUCUAUUGUGGAAAUAAAGGCCAGCGUAGUCGAGUCUAUUUUGUACGUGCUGACACUCUACUGAUGUCUGACUUCAUCAACAGCUUCAAGAAAAAAAUCACUUCCACUGCUUUAAGUGUCCUCAGUUACCAUGACUGUGCCUUCUGGAACCAGAACUCAUGCAAGAAUGAGUUCCUUUUCUUGCGACCAUUCAGACUGCAAGAUUUUAAAAGAUGAC
Molecule: long non-coding RNA, 318 nt
Organism: Rhincodon typus (whale shark)
Lineage: Eukaryota; Metazoa; Chordata; Chondrichthyes; Orectolobiformes; Rhincodontidae
Exons: 3
Source: RefSeq, a predicted model, not a curated record